GCCGGGCGUGGUGGCUCACGCCUGUAAUCCCAGCACUUCGGGAGGCCGAGGCGGGUGGAUCACCUGAGGUCAGGAGUUCGAGACCAGCCUGGCCAGCAUGGUGAAAACCCGUCUCUA
Non-coding RNA from Gorilla gorilla gorilla (western lowland gorilla), 117 nucleotides. It matches the Rfam family "Metazoan signal recognition particle RNA". Rfam says of the family: The signal recognition particle (SRP) is a universally conserved ribonucleoprotein. It is involved in the co-translational targeting of proteins to membranes. The eukaryotic SRP consists of a 300-nucleotide 7S RNA and six proteins: SRPs 72, 68, 54, 19, 14, and 9. The record is from Rfam. NCBI's taxonomy places the organism in Eukaryota, Metazoa, Chordata, Mammalia, Primates, Hominidae.